RNAcentral lists this unclassified non-coding RNA (203 nucleotides) under soil metagenome. RNAcentral's name for it is "partial internal transcribed spacer 1". The record is from RNAcentral.
UUGAAUUUAAUGUAGAGUUUGGUUGUAGCUGGCCUAAUUAAUAAUUUGGGCAUGUGCACACCUUCUCUUUCAUCCACACACACCUGUGCACCUGUGAGACAGAGUGGGAAUUUAAUUUAAUUUAAUUGGACCCUCUGUCUACUUAAUUCACACAAACUCUAUUUAUUAUAAAAUGAAUGUAAUUGAUGUAACGCAUCUAAUAC